RNAcentral lists this small nuclear RNA (149 nucleotides) under Suricata suricatta (meerkat). RNAcentral describes it as "U2 spliceosomal RNA (ENSSSUG00005004018.1)". It matches the Rfam family "U2 spliceosomal RNA". From Rfam's summary of the family: U2 is a small nuclear RNA (snRNA) component of the spliceosome (involved in pre-mRNA splicing). Complementary binding between U2 snRNA (in an area lying towards the 5' end but 3' to hairpin I) and the branchpoint sequence (BPS) of the intron results the bulging out of an unpaired adenosine, on the BPS, which initiates a nucleophilic attack at the intronic 5' splice site, thus starting the first of two transesterification reactions that mediate splicing. Lineage: Eukaryota; Metazoa; Chordata; Mammalia; Carnivora; Herpestidae. The record is from Rfam by way of RNAcentral.
AUCGCUUCUCGGCCUUUUGGCUAAGAUCAAGUGUAGUAUCUGUUCACGUCAGCUUAAUAAUAAGUUGCAUUUCAGAAAACAAGGAAAUGGCAUCUUUUAUCUCUAACUAGGCUCUGGAAUUAAUUUGCUCUUUUUUACUUGCAUCAAUA